This 1377-nucleotide ribosomal RNA is filed under the name uncultured bacterium. RNAcentral's name for it is "bacterial SSU rRNA". It matches the Rfam family "Bacterial small subunit ribosomal RNA", at positions 28 to 1381 of the family's 1533-position model. The record is from RNAcentral.
GACGAACGCUGGCGGCGUGCCUAAUACAUGCAAGUGGAACGCAUUUUAAUCACCGUAGCUUGCUACACCGAAUAAAAUGAGUCGCGAACGGGUGAGUAACGCGUAGGUAACCUACCUUCUAGCGGGGGACAACUAUUGGAAACGAUAGCUAAUACCGCAUAAGACAUUAUAUCGCAUGAUAGGAUGUUAAAAGAUACAAUUGUAUCACUAGGAGAUGGACCUGCGUUGUAUUAGCUAGUUGGUGAGGUAACGGCUCACCAAGGCAGCGAUACAUAGCCGACCUGAGAGGGUGAUCGGCCACACUGGGACUGAGACACGGCCCAGACUCCUACGGGAGGCAGCAGUAGGGAAUCUUCGGCAAUGGGGGCAACCCUGACCGAGCAACGCCGCGUGAGUGAAGAAGGUUUUCGGAUCGUAAAGCUCUGUUGUAAGCGAAGAAGAGUGUUAGGAGUGGAAAAUCUAACACAUGACGGUAGCUUACCAGAAAGGGACGGCUAACUACGUGCCAGCAGCCGCGGUAAUACGUAGGUCUCGAGCGUUGUCCGGAUUUAUUGGGCGUAAAGCGAGCGCAGGCGGUUAGAUAAGUCAGAAGUUAAAGGCUGUGGCUCAACCAUAGUAUGCUUUUGAAACUGUUUAACUUGAGUGCAGAAGGGGAGAGUGGAAUUCCAUGUGUAGCGGUGAAAUGCGUAGAUAUAUGGAGGAACACCGGUGGCGAAAGCGGCUCUCUGGUCUGUGACUGACGCUGAGGCUCGAAAGCGUGGGUAGCGAACAGGAUUAGAUACCCUGGUAGUCCACGCCGUAAACGAUGAGUGCUAGGUGUUAGACCCUUUCCGGGGUUUAGUGCCGUAGCUAACGCAUUAAGCACUCCGCCUGGGGAGUACGACCGCAAGGUUGAAACUCAAAGGAAUUGACGGGGGCCCGCACAAGCGGUGGAGCAUGUGGUUUAAUUCGAAGCAACGCGAAGAACCUUACCAGGUCUUGACAUCCCUCUGACCAGUCUAGAGAUAGGCUUUCCCUUUUGGGCAGAGGAGACAGGUGGUGCAUGGUUGUCGUCAGCUCGUGUCGUGAGAUGUUGGGUUAAGUCCCGCAACGAGCGCAACCCUUAUUGUUAGUUGCCAUCAUUGAGUUGGGCACUCUAGCGAGACUGCCGGUAAUAAACCGGAGGAAGGUGGGGAUGACGUCAAAUCAUCAUGCCCCUUAUGACCUGGGCUACACACGUGCUACAAUGGUUGGUACAACGAGUCGCAAGCCGGUGACGGCAAGCUAAUCUCUUAAAGCCAAUCUCAGUUCGGAUUGUAGGCUGCAACUCGCCUACAUGAAGUCGGAAUCGCUAGUAAUCGCGGAUCAGCACGCCGCGGUGAAUACGUUCCCGGGCCU